AUACGUAGGUGGCAAGCGUUGUCCGGAAUUAUUGGGCGUAAAGCGCGCGCAGGUGGUUCCUUAAGUCUGAUGUGAAAGCCCCCGGCUCAACCGGGGAGGGUCAUUGGAAACUGGGGAACUUGAGUGCAGAAGAGGAUAGUGGAAUUCCAAGUGUAGCGGUGAAAUGCGUAGAGAUUUGGAGGAACACCAGUGGCGAAGGCGACUGUCUGGUCUGUAACUGACACUGAGGCGCGAAAGCGUGGGGAGCAAACAGGAUUAGAUACCCUGGUAGUCCACGCUGUAAACGAUGAGUGCUAAGUGUUGGGGGGUUUCCGCCCCUCAGUGCUGCAGCUAACGCAUUAAGCACUCCGCCUGGGGAGUACGGUCGCAAGGUUGAAACUCAAAUGAAUUGGCGGGG
RNAcentral lists this ribosomal RNA (397 nucleotides) under uncultured bacterium. RNAcentral describes it as "partial 16S ribosomal RNA". It matches the Rfam family "Bacterial small subunit ribosomal RNA", at positions 523 to 918 of the family's 1533-position model. The record is from RNAcentral.